UAGGGAAUCUUCGGCAAUGGGGGCAACCCUGACCGAGCAACGCCGCGUGAGUGAAGAAGGUUUUCGGAUCGUAAAGCUCUGUUGUAAGUCAAGAACGGGUGUGAGAGUGGAAAGUUCACACUGUGACGGUAGCUUACCAGAAAGGGACGGCUAACUACGUGCCAGCAGCCGCGGUAAUACGUAGGUCCCCGAGCGUUGUCCGGAUUUAUUGGGCGUAA
This 218-nucleotide ribosomal RNA is filed under the name uncultured bacterium. RNAcentral describes it as "partial 16S ribosomal RNA". It matches the Rfam family "Bacterial small subunit ribosomal RNA", at positions 355 to 563 of the family's 1533-position model. The record is from RNAcentral.